ACUGAAUUGGGGCGAUUGCCCUAAUCCUUCCAUUUAAGGGAGCUGUUCAGCUGUAAUAAAGAACUGAAGCUCCCUAUGGAUGGCAGCGAGAGAGAGAGCGAGAGAGAGAGAGAGAACAUGGCUCCUAUGCUCCUGUGUGGAAUUCAAGCUGCAGCAGCUUCUCUGCACCCAGGAGUGACUUUCAUUCCCUGCCAGCCAAAGCCUGGAAUCCCUGGACUAUGACCUGUCCUGCUGCCUCUGCAGAGCUUCACCAGCCCAGACCCACCCCUUCAUACUCUGCUCUGUGAUGCCAAGGCGGGGAACCUGCAUACCACAUUUCCCAGAUAGCAGCUUCUUGUUAGAUUCCACCAGCAAGAGGUACUCAUGGGAGAUUGCAAGUCGGAUGGAGAGAAGCAACUCCCUGUUUUCUAGGUCUUCCUGACCUUCCUCUUACAGCAGCUCCUUGGAUCUUUUGAUACGCAAGCGCCCAGGGUGCUCCCUUGGUGGGCAAAGCCCUACCUCUGCACCACCGUCUCAACAAACACCAGCUGUAUGGGCCCCCAAGAGCCAGAAGAUGGCUUCCCUCAAAGACUAUCAUGGCCCAUCUAGCUCACCUUAUUUUCAGGAGCCAGGGGGGCUGUCCUGUGUGUGCUCAGGAGCUCAGCCCUCUCAGGGACCGUGUAGUAAUGGCUGCUACUGAGACUUCCAGGGACUACAUGGAACUAUAUGCCUGACUCCCUAUGUGACAACGGAAGCAGAGAGAGAUCUGAAGAUGCUACUCCGCUGGCUUUGAAGAUGGAGGGAGAGACCACAAACCAAGAAAUGAAGUUGGUGUCUAGAAGGGAGACAAGACAAGGGAAUGCAUUCUCCCCUAGUGCCUCCAGAAGGAACAGAGCCCUAGUAACACCUUGAUUUUAGUCCAGUGAAAGCCAUCUGGAACGUCUAACCUUCAGAACAAUAAGACAAUAAAUUUGUGUUAUUUUAAACCACUAAAUUUAUAAUCAUUUGUUAUAGCAGCAAUAGGAAACUAAUAUUCCUUAUAACCCAAAUUAGUCCCCACAUUCUCAGUAUCUUCCCCCGGACCUCCCCCUGCAAAGCUUCAGUUUAGAGACACAGAUCACACAUAUUGCAUCUGCUUACAUACUGUGUCAGUUAGGAUGCCUUUGCCUGCAAGCAUUAGAAAACUCAACUCAAAACAGCUUAAACAAUGAGGGAGAGAUACUAUCUUACAUAACAAGAAGUCUCAAGGUA
Zalophus californianus (California sea lion) is the source of this 1230-nucleotide long non-coding RNA. RefSeq lists it as uncharacterized. The record is from RefSeq and is a predicted model, not a curated record. The transcript is spliced from 4 exons. NCBI's taxonomy places the organism in Eukaryota, Metazoa, Chordata, Mammalia, Carnivora, Otariidae.